UCUGCCGCUAGAGACGUUGCAGAUGUGGCUGCCGUGUCACAUUUGUGUCAUUAGGUGGCAAAGAGAAGAGAGCCUUGUCUACGCUCGGUGUUCUGUGGACGUCUGGAUGAUUGAUAGUCCGACACU
This is a small nucleolar RNA of Orcinus orca (killer whale), 126 nucleotides long. RefSeq annotates it as small nucleolar RNA SNORA17. The transcript has a single exon. The record is from RefSeq and is a predicted model, not a curated record. NCBI's taxonomy places the organism in Eukaryota, Metazoa, Chordata, Mammalia, Artiodactyla, Delphinidae.